This 1192-nucleotide ribosomal RNA is filed under the name Hexagrammos decagrammus (kelp greenling). Its description in RNAcentral is "partial 16S ribosomal RNA". It matches the Rfam family "Bacterial large subunit ribosomal RNA", at positions 593 to 2558 of the family's 2925-position model. Lineage: Eukaryota; Metazoa; Chordata; Actinopteri; Perciformes; Hexagrammidae. The record is from RNAcentral.
CAAAGCUCGUACCUUUUGCAUCAUGAUUUAGCAAGUGUAACCCAAGCAAAGCGUACUUUAGUUUGAUGUCCCGAAACUAAGUGAGCUACUCCAAGACAGCCUAUUAAUAGGGCGUACCCGUCUCUGUGGCAAAAGAGUGGGGAGAACUUUGAGUAGAGGUGAUAAACCUACCGAACCUAGUUAUAGCUGGUUGUCCGAGAAAUGAAUAGAAGUUCAGCCUUUCAGCUUCUCUUUAAACCGAAAGAGUUAGUCAAAGGGGGUACAGCCCCUUUGAACCAAGACACAACUUUAUCAGGUGGGUAAAGAUCAUAAUAAUUAAAGCUAAAUGUUCUGGUGGGCCUAAAAGCAGCCAUCCCCUUAGAAAGCGUUAAAGCUCAGACAUGUUAUCCUGACCACUUAAUCUUAUCCCCCUAAUCAUACUGGACCCUCCCAUGUCGACAUGGGAGUGACUAUGCUGAAAUGAGUAAUAAGAGAGGGCUCUCUCCCUGCACACACGUACAUCGGAACGGACAACCCACCGAACCUUAACGAUCCCAAAUAAAGAGGGCAAUGUAUAUUAACUAGAAAAGUAUCCACCGUUAAACCCACACAGGUGUGCCUCUAGGGAAAGACUAAAAAAAAGAGAAGGAACUCGGCAAACAAGCCUCGCCUGUUUACCAAAAACAUCGCCUCUUGCAAAAAUAAGAGGUCCCGCCUGCCCUGUGACUAUUUGUUUAACGGCCGCGGUAUUUUGACCGUGCGAAGGUAGCGCAAUCACUUGUCUUUUAAAUGGAGACCCGUAUGAAUGGCAUAACGAGGGCUUAACUGUCUCCUCUUUCAAGUCAAUGAAAUUGAUCUUCCCGUGCAGAAGCGGGAAUAUAAACAUAAGACGAGAAGACCCUAUGGAGCUUUAGACACCAAGGCAGCCCACAUCAAACACCCUUAAACAAGAGACUAAACCAUAGUGGACCCUGCCCUAAUGUCUUUGGUUGGGGCGACCGCGGGGAAUUACAAAACCCCCACGUGGAAUGGGAACACUCCUACAGCUAAGAGCUACAGCUCUAGUAAACAGAAAUUCUGACCAACAAGAUCCGGCAACGCCGAUCAACGGACCGAGUUACCCUAGGGAUAACAGCGCAAUCCUCUUUUAGAGCCCAUAUCGACAAGGGGGUUUACGACCUCGAUGUUGGAUCAGGACAUCCUAAUGGUGCAG